UGAACGCUAGCGACAGGCUUAACACAUGCAAGUCGAGGGGCAGCACAGGUAGCAAUACCGGGUGGCGACCGGCGCACGGGUGAGUAACGCGUAUGCAACUUGCCUAUCAGAGGGGGAUAACCCGGCGAAAGUCGGACUAAUACCGCAUGAAGCAGGGAUCCCGCAUGGGAAUAUUUGCUAAAGAUUCAUCGCUGAUAGAUAGGCAUGCGUUCCAUUAGGCAGUUGGCGGGGUAACGGCCCACCAAACCGACGACGGAUAGGGGUUCUGAGAGGAAGGUCCCCCACAUUGGUACUGAGACACGGACCAAACUCCUACGGGAGGCAGCAGUGAGGAAUAUUGGUCAAUGGCCGAGAGGCUGAACCAGCCAAGUCGCGUGAGGGAUGAAGGUUCUAUGGAUCGUAAACCUCUUUUAUAAGGGAAUAAAGUGCGGGACGUGUCCCGUUUUGUAUGUACCUUAUGAAUAAGGAUCGGCUAACUCCGUGCCAGCAGCCGCGGUAAUACGGAGGAUCCGAGCGUUAUCCGGAUUUAUUGGGUUUAAAGGGUGCGUAGGCGGCCUUUUAAGUCAGCGGUGAAAGUCUGUGGCUCAACCAUAGAAUUGCCGUUGAAACUGGGGGGCUUGAGUAUGUUUGAGGCAGGCGGAAUGCGUGGUGUAGCGGUGAAAUGCAUAGAUAUCACGCAGAACCCCGAUUGCGAAGGCAGCCUGCCAAGCCAUUACUGACGCUGAUGCACGAAAGCGUGGGGAUCAAACAGGAUUAGAUACCCUGGUAGUCCACGCAGUAAACGAUGAUCACUAGCUGUUUGCGAUACACUGUAAGCGGCACAGCGAAAGCGUUAAGUGAUCCACCUGGGGAGUACGCCGGCAACGGUGAAACUCAAAGGAAUUGACGGGGGCCCGCACAAGCGGAGGAACAUGUGGUUUAAUUCGAUGAUACGCGAGGAACCUUACCCGGGCUUGAACGCAUUCGGACCGAGGUGGAAACACCUUUUCUAGCAAUAGCCGUUUGCGAGGUGCUGCAUGGUUGUCGUCAGCUCGUGCCGUGAAGUGUCGGCUUAAGUGCCAUAACGAGCGCAACCCUUGCCACUAGUUACUAACAGGUAAAGCUGAGGACUCUGGUGGGACUGCCAGCGUAAGCUGCGAGGAAGGCGGGGAUGACGUCAAAUCAGCACGGCCCUUACAUCCGGGGCGACACACGUGUUACAAUGGCGUGGACAAAGGGAGGCCACCUGGCGACAGGGAGCGAAUCCCCAAACCACGUCUCAGUUCGGAUCGGAGUCUGCAACCCGACUCCGUGAAGCUGGAUUCGCUAGUAAUCGCGCAUCAGCCAUGGCGCGGUGAAUACGUUCCCGGGCCUUGUACACACCGCCCGUCAAGCCAUGGGAGCCGGGGGUACCUGAAGUCCGUAACCGAAAGGAUCGGCCUAGGGUAAAACUGGUGACUGGGGCUAAG
This 1448-nucleotide ribosomal RNA is filed under the name uncultured organism. RNAcentral's name for it is "SSU rRNA". It matches the Rfam family "Bacterial small subunit ribosomal RNA". The record is from RNAcentral.